CCGCCCUGCUCGCUCAGCUGAUCUGUGGCUUAGGUAGUUUCAUGUUGUUGGGAUUGAGUUUUGAACUCGGCAACAAGAAACUGCCUGAGUUACAUCAGUCGGUUUUCGUCGAGGGCCCCAA
This is a microRNA precursor of Chlorocebus sabaeus (green monkey), 121 nucleotides long. Ensembl annotates it as microRNA 196a-2. Its record names the gene MIR196A2. The record is from Ensembl. NCBI's taxonomy places the organism in Eukaryota, Metazoa, Chordata, Mammalia, Primates, Cercopithecidae.